UACGUAGGCAGCGAGCGUUGUUCGGAGUUACUGGGCGUAAAGGGUGUGUAGGCGGUUCUCUAAGUUUGGUGUGAAAUCUCCCGGCUCGACCGGGAGGGUGCGCCGAAAACUGGAGGGCUAGAGUGCGGGAAGGGAGAGUAGAAUUCCUGGUGUAGCGGUGAAAUGCGUAGAUAUCAGGAGGAAUACCGGUGGUGCAGACGGCUCUCUGGACCGCGACUGACGCUGAGACACGAAAGCGUGGGUAGCAAACAGG
This 253-nucleotide ribosomal RNA is filed under the name uncultured bacterium. Its description in RNAcentral is "partial 16S ribosomal RNA". It matches the Rfam family "Bacterial small subunit ribosomal RNA", at positions 524 to 776 of the family's 1533-position model. The record is from RNAcentral.